UACGUAGGGUGCAAGCGUUGUCCGGAAUUAUUGGGCGUAAAGAGCUCGUAGGCGGUCUGUCGCGUCGGAUGUGAAAAUCCAGGGCUCAACCCUGGACCUGCAUUCGAUACGGGCAGACUAGAGUUCGGUAGGGGAGACUGGAAUUCCUGGUGUAGCGGUGAAAUGCGCAGAUAUCAGGAGGAACACCAGUGGCGAAGGCGGCAAUCUGGACAGAUAUUGACGCUGAUGUACGAAAGCGUGGGGAGCAAACAGG
This 253-nucleotide ribosomal RNA is filed under the name uncultured bacterium. RNAcentral's name for it is "partial 16S ribosomal RNA". It matches the Rfam family "Bacterial small subunit ribosomal RNA", at positions 524 to 776 of the family's 1533-position model. The record is from RNAcentral.